RNAcentral lists this ribosomal RNA (468 nucleotides) under uncultured bacterium. Its description in RNAcentral is "partial 16S ribosomal RNA". It matches the Rfam family "Bacterial small subunit ribosomal RNA", at positions 28 to 507 of the family's 1533-position model. The record is from RNAcentral.
GACGAACGCUGGCGGCGUGCUUAACACAUGCAAGUCGAACGGAAAGGCCCUGCUUUUGUGGGGUGCUCGAGUGGCGAACGGGUGAGUAACACGUGAGUAACCUGCCCUUGACUUUGGGAUAACUUCAGGAAACUGGGGCUAAUACCGGAUAGGAGCUCCUGCUGCAUGGUGGGGGUUGGAAAGUGUCGGCGGUUGGGGAUGGACUCGCGGCUUAUCAGCUUGUUGGUGGGGUAGUGGCUUACCAAGGCUUUGACGGGUAGCCGGCCUGAGAGGGUGACCGGCCACAUUGGGACUGAGAUACGGACCAGACUGCUACGGGAGGCAGAAGUGGGGAAUAUUGCAGAAUGGGCGGAAGCCUGAUGCAGCAACGCCGCGUGCGGGAUGACGGCCUUCGGGUUGUAAACCGCUUUCGCCUGUGACGAAGCGUGAGUGACGGUAAUGGGUAAAGAAGCACCGGCUAACUACGUG